GACGAACGCUGGCGGCGUGCUUAACACAUGCAAGUCGUACGGUAAGGCCCUUUCGGGGGUACACGAGUGGCGAACGGGUGAGUAACACGUGAGUAACCUGCCCACAACUUUGGGAUAACGCUAGGAAACUGGUGCUAAUACUGGAUAUGUGCUCCUGCUGCAUGGUGGGGGUUGGAAAGCUCCGGCGGUUGUGGAUGGACUCGUGGCCUAUCAGCUUGUUGGUGGGGUAGUGGCCUACCAAGGCGGCGACGGGUAGCCGGCCUGAGAGGGUGACCGGCCACAUUGGGACUGAGAGACGGCCCAGACUCCUACGGGAGGCAGCAGUGGGGAAUAUUGCACAAUGGGCGCAAGCCUGAUGCAGCAACGCCGCGUGCGGGAUGACGGCCUUCGGGUUGUAAACCGCUUUCAGCAGGGACGAAGCUUUUUGUGACGGUACCUGCAGAAGAAGCACCGGCUAACUACGUG
Molecule: ribosomal RNA, 465 nt
Filed under: uncultured bacterium
Lineage: Bacteria
Description: partial 16S ribosomal RNA
Rfam family: Bacterial small subunit ribosomal RNA
Source: RNAcentral